This 2975-nucleotide long non-coding RNA is filed under the name Sus scrofa (pig). Its description in RNAcentral is "lncRNA (ENSSSCG00025064238.1)". The record is from RNAcentral. Lineage: Eukaryota; Metazoa; Chordata; Mammalia; Artiodactyla; Suidae.
GGCCUGUUUUUGCCACCCUGGCGCCCCGAACUCUGUGCCGCCGCACCCUUCACCCAGUCUUGGGACGGCUGGCGCUAAGAAUUCAUGCUAUGACCUUCGAUUCAGCCGGGAGGUGACACCAAGCUCGAUCAGAAACUAUGCCACUGGUGAAGAGGUAUAUUGAGCCCUGCGUGGCCCAGUGAGGUUACUAGAGAAUUGGAAGAGUCUCAAAUCAGCAUCCUGCACAUGGUUAUCAAACCAUUGUGAAGUCUUAGUAAGUGGUCAGUGGCUCUGGUGGGCUUGCCCAGUUAGUGUCUUAACAGGCACUAGGCAGUUACUUGAUAUUUUCCCAUUAUGAUAUGAAAAAGUUUUUUGUUUUUUGUUUUUUUAGGGCUGUACCCGUGGCAUAUGGAGGUUCCCAGGCUAGGGUUCAAAUUGGAGCUGUAGCUAUAUGCAGGCCUACACCACCCACAGCUAUAGCAACUUGGGAUCCGAGCUGCGUCUGCAACCUACGCCACAGCUCACGAGAGUGCUGGAUCCUUAACCCACUGAGAGAGGCCAGGGAUUGAACCUGUGUCCUCAUGGAUACUAGUUGUGUUCUUAACCCACUGAGCCACAAUGGGAACUCCAAAAAACAGUCUUUAUUUCAGACUAGAGAGUGAAGAGCCUAAUCUCUCUCUUUCCCCGUCUCCCAUUUUUGCAAUGAUAUCUUGCCCACCAUAAUAGUUGGUGUAGAAAAUGGAUUUGAAUCCAAGCCCAAUAUUGUUUCUUCCACCUAGUGCUUCCUCUAGAUUCCACCUAAGUCCAAGGAGGCGAUGUGAGACAGAAACAUUUUUAUUCCACAUGGAAAGAUUAUAAUAGCCUCUGACAUUGUGCUCCUCUGAUGAAGGAAAUGUCCAUGGUAUAAAUUUUUAUUGUGCAUAAAAUCACCUGGGAAGCUUGUUAAAAAUGCAGAUUCCUAGGCAGCUAGAAGCCUUGUCAUUGGUCCAGAGCAACAUGAAGACCUACCUGUCACUUACACUGAGGCUUCCUGCCCAGUGGGUUCACCAGCAAGCCAGAAGGAAGCAUCACUGCCAUGGAUGUCCUUGUGAGGCAGUUGUGAAGCCUUGGAGAGCUUUAGAAACAACUUGUCAAGUUUUCACCACAAAUACCAUUGGAGUUACAAUUGGAGUCUCACUGAAUUAUACAGUAAUUUUUGGAGAGCUAUCAUCUUUAUAAUCUUCUCAUACAUGAAUGUGUCUUGGCUACUUGUAGAUGUUGCAUUGCUGCUGCCGCUGCUGCUGUUACUACAACUACAAUUGCUGCCAGUUGCUCCUUGCGUAGGACCAGAGUGAUCAUUCAUCAGAAACCUCAUCCUCACAGUCUGGGGUUUGUUCCUGUGGCUGGUAUUCACAGUUUUCCCCUUCCAACUUUACCUCAGCUAUCCCCUUACCUACAUUAACAGGAGUUGCUGGUAGAAGACUUCAUGAAGGAGAGAAGAAAAGGAAAAAAUCAGAGGAUGACUACAGCCUCCUUCAUCUCAGCUUUGCAAAGCAUUACUCAACAGAGGGAUCACUCUCUUGAAUACUCUCCAGACCACAGGCCAUCAGUCUAUUACAGGCUCUAACUGGGAGGAGCCUUAUUGUGAAUGAAGCUUCGGUGGGUGCUAGGAGUAACACCGUGUUUCUCUGGAUAUGAGAAGAAUGGAGGGCAGAGAGCAAGGGAAGGAAGCUAUGAAAUAUUGGAGUAACAAAUGCUUGACGUUUUAGUGGGUAUUGGACCUAGAAGCCUAUAUGAUUGAAGGAAGCAAACCUGAGAGGUCUGAUGUUUGUGAGUGAAGAUAGGCGUGAACUCCUUAUUGCAAUUAAAAAUGGAGUGAGGGGGAGGAGAAAAAUGACAGAAAUCAUAAGAUCCAUUACUUCAGUGAAGGAAGCACUGAGACUUGCUUCAUAAACCUGUAAUUUUUAAAGGUAGAUUGAAGAUAAGUUGUUGUGCUGCACUAUUUCUAUUCCUACCCGUGAGAGUUACUGCCAGCCACUCUUCUCAGGUAGAUCUGCCUUUAUGGAAAUUUCUGUUGACCCACGUAAAGAAACAACCCAGAAAAACAUUUGCAACAUUGAAGAACUCUGGUUCAGUGACAGGGUGUUAAAGGAGUUGAGGAUAGAGGAAAUAGCUCAAGUAGUACCAAAUAGCUCAGGUUGGCUUUUUUUUUUCUUUUUAAUAGGAUGAUUGGGCCAGAGACAGUGGGCAGAAUGACUUCAGGCAACCCCAAACGCCAGAUAUGGCAUAAGGAAACAGUUUAAGGAAAAGGUCAAUCCUUGGACCUAGUAUUUGUGAUGCAAUAUCUUAAAUUAAAAGGAAGAGCUGCUUUGGAGAAGGGUUUUAAAAGAUUGUAUUUCAUAGAAAGAAGAAAGAUUUAGAGGAGAAACUUCCAAUUAUAUAAGAUGGGCAUUAUAACUUUUAAAGACAUCUGUUGCCUGCAUGGGUCAUAGAGAUUGAUACCAGUAUCAGCCUGUGGCUGACUAGGCCAGUUUAAGUGGUUUCCUGUUUGAAGAGAGAUGCUGCCAUUCUCUCACUUUGGCAGGUAUUCACCUGCAAUGAGUCCAGUACCUGGAGGAGCAAGAAAAAAACAAGCAUCCAGGGGGACAAUAGUAUAGCCUUCUGAGUUAAGAUAGCAACUGAAAAGAUCAUGGGAUUGGCUGCACUGGGCUGGGCUUGUUUGUUUUUUCAAAAUAAAAAAGUUUUCUUUUUGAUGACAAAAGUAAGAGAUGAUCAUUGUUUAAAAAUAAAGUGAAAAGUAUAAAAGUAAAGAGUAAUGUGCUUCCUUUUACUCUAAAAAAAGUGUAUAUAACACAGUUUAAAAAUAAAAUUGACAUUGUAUUUUCUGACUUUUCUCAUUUAAAAAUAAGCAUUCUUCCAUGUCAUUAACAUUAUUUAAAAAUACAAUAUUGUGUCAUAUUUCAUAUGGAUCUAACAAAAUUUAUUUAGAUCAUCUCAUGAUGCAGAUAUUUUGGAUG